AAGUAAGCAAGGGCACCCGGGGGAUGCCUAGGCUCUCAGAGGCGAAGAAGGACGCGAUAAGCUGCGAAAAGCUGCGGGGAUGGGCACAUACCAGGUGAUCCGCAGAUAUCCGAAUGGGGCAACCCCUUAUCUUGAAGAGAUAAGAUCUCCUCCUUUAGGGAGGGAGAGGCAAACGCAGGGAACUGAAACAUCUAAGUACCUGCAGGAACAGAAAAUAACAAUGAUUCCCCAAGUAGUGGCGAGCGAACGGGGACGAGCCCAAACCGGGUUGGUUACGGCCAGUCCGGGGUUGUAGGACCUCAAGAUCUGAUUGUGUGAUUUUAGCUGAAUGACGUGGGAAAGUCAACCAGAGACGGUGAGAGUCCGGUAAGCGAGCAGAUCAUGCACGGUAGAGGAUUCCUGAGUAAGGCGGGACCAGCGAAAUCCCGUCUGAAUCCGGCGGUACCAUCCGCCAAGGCUACAUACUCCUGAGAGACCGAUAGUGAACUAGUACCGUGAGGGAAAGGUGAAAAGCACCCCGACGAGGGGAGUGAAACAGUUCCUGAAACCGGAUGCUUACAAACAGUGGGAGCUCAAGGUUCGUCCUGGGUGACCGCGUACCUUUUGUAUAAUGGGUCAGCGACUUAAAGUUACGAGCAAGCUUAAGCCGGUAGGUGUAGGCGCAGCGAAAGCGAGUCUGAAUAGGGCGACUUAGUUUGAUGGAUUAGACCCGAAACCCGGCGAUCUAGGCAUGACCAGGAUGAAGGUGGGGUAACACCCACUGGAGGUCCGAACCGAUUAACGUUGAAAAGUUACCGGAUGAGUUGUGUUUAGGGGUGAAAGGCCAAUCAAGCCGGGAAAUAGCUGGUUCUCCGCGAAAACUAUUGAGGUAGUGCCUCGGAUGAAUACCGAUGGGGGUAGAGCACUGGAUGGGCUAGGG
RNAcentral lists this ribosomal RNA (919 nucleotides) under Rhodella violacea. RNAcentral describes it as "partial Bacterial large subunit ribosomal RNA". It matches the Rfam family "Bacterial large subunit ribosomal RNA", at positions 1 to 924 of the family's 2925-position model. The record is from RNAcentral. Lineage: Eukaryota; Rhodophyta; Rhodellophyceae; Rhodellales; Rhodellaceae.